RNAcentral lists this ribosomal RNA (256 nucleotides) under uncultured bacterium. Its description in RNAcentral is "partial 16S ribosomal RNA". It matches the Rfam family "Bacterial small subunit ribosomal RNA", at positions 524 to 776 of the family's 1533-position model. The record is from RNAcentral.
UACGUAGGGGGCAAGCGUUGUCCGGAAUCAUUGGGCGUAAAGAGCGUGUAGGCGGUUUAGUAAGUCUGCUGUGAAAGUCCAGGGCUCAACCCUGGGGAUGCCGGUGGAUACUGCUGGGCUAGAGUACGGAAGAGGCGAGUGGAAUUCCCGGUGUAGCGGUGAAAUGCGCAGAUAUCAGGAAGAACACCAAUGGCGGAAGGCAGCUCUCUGGGACGGUACUGACGGCUGAGACGCGAAAGCGUGGGGAGCGAACAGG